RNAcentral lists this ribosomal RNA (253 nucleotides) under uncultured bacterium. Its description in RNAcentral is "partial 16S ribosomal RNA". It matches the Rfam family "Bacterial small subunit ribosomal RNA", at positions 524 to 776 of the family's 1533-position model. The record is from RNAcentral.
UACGUAGGGGGCAAGCGUUGUCCGGAUUUAUUGAGCGUAAAGAGCGUGUAGGCGGCCAGGUAGGUCCGCUGUGAAAACUCGAGGCUCAACCUCGAGAUGUCGGCGGAAACCAUCUGGCUAGAGUCCGGAAGAGGAGAGUGGAAUUCCUGGUGUAGCGGUGAAAUGCGCAGAUAUCAGGAAGAACACCAAUGGCGAAAGCAGCUCUCUGGGACGGUACUGACGCUGAGACGCGAAAGCGUGGGGAGCGAACAGG